RNAcentral lists this ribosomal RNA (253 nucleotides) under uncultured bacterium. RNAcentral describes it as "partial 16S ribosomal RNA". It matches the Rfam family "Bacterial small subunit ribosomal RNA", at positions 524 to 776 of the family's 1533-position model. The record is from RNAcentral.
UACGGAGGGUGCGAGCGUUGUCCGGAAUCACUGGGCGUAAAGGGUGCGUAGGCGGUCGGGUAAGUCUGGCGUGAAAUCUCCAAGCCUAACUUGGAAACUGCGUUGGAUACUAUCCGGCUCGAGGAAUGGAGGGGAGACUGGAAUACUUGGUGUAGCAGUGAAAUGCGUAGAUAUCAAGUGGAACACCAGUGGCGAAGGCGAGUCUCUGGACAUUUCCUGACGCUGAGGCACGAAAGCCAGGGGAGCAAACGGG